UAGGCUGAUCACCUGUUCUCAUAAAGGUUU
RNAcentral lists this non-coding RNA (30 nucleotides) under Mus musculus (house mouse). The record is from RNAcentral. Lineage: Eukaryota; Metazoa; Chordata; Mammalia; Rodentia; Muridae.